This 1083-nucleotide long non-coding RNA is filed under the name Apteryx haastii (Great spotted kiwi). RNAcentral's name for it is "lncRNA (ENSAHAG00000012141.1)". The record is from RNAcentral. Lineage: Eukaryota; Metazoa; Chordata; Aves; Apterygiformes; Apterygidae.
AUGGAGGGACAAAAGCAGCCCCACACUCCUAGGGGUGCUGAUGGCUUGCUGGGGACAGUCUCAGCGCAGGUUGGGAAGUUUGUGACAAGGAGACUAGGGUCACAAAGGAAGCAGGAGCUGGAGCUUUGGGCAAAGGAGAGGGGGCAGAAACCGUGGAAUGCAGAGGGGCCCCCUGUGGGCAGAGAAGAGCCCUGCCACAUGGAUGUGCAGCCCUGGAAGGAGAACUGGACCACUUUGAGCAUGGAGGAGGCUGAGUCAGGAGCCAUGGUGCAGGGCAGGGGGGUUCUGCCAGGCCCAGAGUGGCUUCACUGGGAGCUGGGGCUGCAGCUGGGGCUGCAGCAGAGUGGCUGUGUGGAGCUGGCCAUGAUGCUGCGGGCUGGGAGGCCAAGCCUGGUGUCACUGGAAGGCCUCAGGCACCAGGCUGUUACCCAGCACAUGCGCCCUGGGCUGUGCAGCACAGGUGCUACCAAAGGAGCUGGGCCAGCAGAGCAGCCCCUGGCACUGCAAAGAGUCAGCUCRCACAUGGGCCCACUGUGGGGCUCCUGCCCAGGCCCCAUGGGCACAGCAGCAGAGCUAGACUGCAGCGCACACCCACUGCCAGGAGCCAGCAAGGAUGCCUCGAUGGAUGUGGUGCUCCAGAGGCAAUUUACCCUGGCCUGGCUCCUCCAGCUCCUGCUGCAGAUGAUCUUUCAGAGCCAGCAUCUCCAAGGGCAGCACAUCCCACCCAGGUCCAGGGAAGGCCACAUACAUGCCUGCCUCUGCCUGAAGCUGCUCCACCAGUUGAUGUGGGUGCUGGCGCCUGGGGCUGGAUGCUGGGGGGCUUGGAGCUGGCCCUGCAGCUGGUGGGAUGGGAGCAGACAGGGCAGCUGCUGGAAGCUGCACUGCACCACAGACUACUCAGGGCUGCUGUGGGCCAGGCAGCCCCCAGUCCCCAGGUCCUGCCACAGGAGAGCAGCUCUCUGCGCAACCCAGAGCUCCCCAGCCCAGCUGCAGAGAUGGGUAGGAGAAGCAGGGCUCAGAAAAGAGCUGCAUUUCUCCCUCUUGACCUGUUGCAUGGCAUGUUGUUCUGGCACAGACUGCUAA